UGUAAAUAUUAUUCUUGGAAUAAGGAAGCAAAACAACAUAUGAUUUUCACGUGAUCAUGGACGAUUCAGAGACAAGUCCGCUGAUUAACAGAAGACCUCAUUCAGUAAUUAAUCAAUCAAGUGAGGAAGAUGAAGAUGAUUCUGAAAAUAAACUUAAUUAUACAACAGAGAAGGUCCUCUCUGGGGAAUAUGAGAGUUUGGAUUAUGAUAAUUGUGAAAAUGAGUUAUAUGAAAUGGAGGAGAAAAAGAAGUCUGUCAGGGACAUUGUGGUGAUUGAGAUGUUAAGGUGGCUCGUUAUGCUUUUUGUUGGAGUUCUGACUGGACUGGUGGCCAGCCUGAUUGACUACUGUGUCAUCAAAUCUACAGAUCUCAAGUUCAGCAUCAUCAAAAAAUAUAUAGACAAAUGUGUGGAUGACCAAUGUAUGGAGAUCCCCCUGUUUGUCUGGGCAGGGAUCAAUGGGGGUCUGGUGUUUGUUGCAGCAGUUCUGACAGCCUGCUUUGAGCCUGUGGCAGCUGGGAGUGGGAUUCCCCAGAUUAAGUGUUACCUGAAUGGGGUCAAGGUACCACAUGUUGUUCGUUUGAAAACCAUUGUUGUGAAGGUCAUUGGGGUCAUAAGUUCAGUUGCAGGUGGACUCAUUAUAGGAAAGGAAGGACCAAUGAUACACUCUGGUGCAGUGAUAGCAGCUGGGAUCUCUCAAGGAAGAUCAGACACAUUCAGAAAAUUUGACUUAAGGAUAUUUGAAUUUUUCCGAGCUGACACAGAAAAACGAGACUUUGUGGCUGGAGGGGCUGCAGCUGGGGUGUCCGCUGCCUUUGGGGCCCCAGUGGGGGGAGUACUGUUCAGUCUGGAGGAGGGAGCGAGUUUCUGGAACCAAGCCUUAGCAUGGAGAAUAUUCUUUGCCUCCAUGAUGUCUACCUUUACCCUUAACGUCAUACAGAGCUACAUCAAAGGUCAUCCCUGGGACCUCUCUUAUCCAGGAUUGUUUAACUUUGGUAACUUUGAUACUACAUCAUAUUCAGCAUUUGAAAUUCCAAUUUUUAUAUUGAUGGGAGUAUUAGGUGGGCUUUUUGGUGCUUUAUUCAACCAGUUUAACUACAUUUUAACAAAAUUUAGGAGAAGGUAUAUAAAUAAAGGUAGAGACCGAGUGCUGGAGGCCAUGGUUGUAGCCAUCAUCACUGCUACAGUUGGCUUUGUGUCCCUGUACUUCAAUAAUAACUGUACUCCAAUGAUACAUGAUCAGGAUCCCAAUACUGUACAGUUUUACUGCAAUGAUGGUCAGUACAGUUCUACAGCCUCCAUCCUAUUCCAGUCACCUGAGGAUAGCGUCAAAAGUCUUUUUCAUGACCCCAAAGGGACUUAUGCACCAGCUACCCUCAUUGUGUACUGCCUGUGUGUGUUUUUGCUGGCCUGUUGGACUUACGGACUCUAUGUACCUAGUGGCCUCUUUAUACCUGGUCUUUUAAUCGGCGCUACCUGGGGACGGCUAGUGGGGAUCAGUCUCAAUUAUAUCUUCCCCGAUGCGGAAUGGGUAGAUUUUGGAAAGUAUUCUUUAAUAGGGGCAGCAGCACAACUAGGGGGUAUUGUACGUAUGACAAUAAGUCUUACAGUCAUCAUAAUGGAGGCUACAGGAAACAUCACAUUCGGUCUGCCUAUCAUGAUUGUUCUGAUAGUGGCUAAAUGGGUAGGGGACAUUUUCAAUGAGGGGAUCUACGACAUGCAUAUCCACAUACAGGGUGUGCCCAUCCUGGGGUGGGAACCGUCGUCAGUAUUAACAAACCUGUCAGCCAGAGAGGUGAUGAGUCAUCCUGUGUCUGUUUUCCGAAUGAGGGAGUCUGUUGGCAGAAUCAUGGAGGUUCUACAGAAUGAGAUGCACAAUGGAUUCCCUGUUGUGGAGAAUUUUGAUCCUGAUAUACAAAGUUCUUCAGAGGAAGAAGAAAUGUCAUUUGGAACCUACAGAGGGAUCAUUUUAAGAUCACAGUUACUAGUUCUUUUAAAGCAAAGGAUUUAUGGAGAUAAUCUAACUGCAAAAUUGACAACUAAGGAUUUUAGAGAUGCAUAUCCAAAGUUUACUCCUGUAAGACAAAUUCAUAUAUCCCAGUAUGAACGUGAACAUUUUGAAAUAAAUUUAGAGCCAUAUAUGAAUCCCGCCGCAUACUGUAUUACAGAUAAUUCUCUUUAUCCAAGGAUAUUUAAAUUGUUCAGAGCUCUUGGUCUUCGGCAUCUUGUGGUUGUUGACAAACAUCAUCAGGUUGUUGGUAUGGUGACAAGGAAGGAUCUUGCUAGAUACAAGGUCACACAGAAACUUUGGAAAGUCAGUAUGGAGGAACUGUUAAUUUCAACUAAAUGAUCUUUAUGUUGGAGGAACUGUUAAUUUCAAUUCCAUGAACUUCACCAUGAUGAUGGAAGAGCUAUUAUCUUCAACAUUGUGAUGGAGGAUUUGUUAUUUACAAGGUGAUGUCAGAUCUUCACUAUAGAGUGCUUUUCAGGGACAAAUUGUACUUAGAACUUCAUUGUUUGUUGAUAAAUUAACAUGUCAAAACUGACAUUUAAAAAUGUCAAACUGGUACAAUUUUGAACAAUUGCUUGUAUGUAUGUCUGUUUAGAUCUAGUCAAUUACAUUCCAUGACCUACGCAAAUACAGUGUUUAUCUCUAACUGUGAAUAUAUUGAACUGAUUUGGAAAUCCUAAUCACAUAUGCUUUAAGUUUUUUACCCUCAAUAUCUAAAAUUCUCUGAUAUUUCAAAGACUUACUGAAUCCCAUCAAGUUAAAAAAAAUGGGGUUUGACUGUAAAAA
RNA transcript from Saccostrea cuccullata (small rock oyster), 2795 nucleotides. It is a transcript of the gene named H(+)/Cl(-) exchange transporter 7-like, with no coding region annotated. The record is from RefSeq and is a predicted model, not a curated record. The transcript is spliced from 25 exons. NCBI's taxonomy places the organism in Eukaryota, Metazoa, Mollusca, Bivalvia, Ostreida, Ostreidae.